GGAUGUGAGGGCGAUCUGGCUGCGACAGUCUGUCACCCCAUUGAUCGCCAGGAUUGAUUUGGCUGAUCUGGCUGGCUAGGCGGGUGACCCUCCCUCAGUGCUCUGUGUGCGUCCCUCCCGAAGCUGCGCACUCAGUUAAAAAGGAUGACCACCCCAGAUAGAAGAGGACCAUUCCUAGGUCAAGGGUGUAUGAGUAGCUGCGCUUCCCUGCUAGAACCUCCAAACAAGCUCUCAAGGCUAAUUAUCUCUUGUUUUCUUUUUCUUUUUCUUUUUUCCCUUUUUGAGACAGGGUCUUGCUAUGCAGUUCAGGCUGGCCUUGAGCA
Molecule: small RNA, 323 nt
Filed under: Chinchilla lanigera (long-tailed chinchilla)
Lineage: Eukaryota; Metazoa; Chordata; Mammalia; Rodentia; Chinchillidae
Description: 7SK RNA (ENSCLAG00000021540.1)
Rfam family: 7SK RNA
About the family: 7SK was discovered as an abundant small nuclear RNA in the mid-70s but a possible function has only recently been suggested.
Source: Rfam by way of RNAcentral